AGUCCAUGAAUGGGGCAUAAAGUCAACAAGUCUUUGAGUCUCUCCCAUGAUUCAAAGAGCGACUCACCUUCUUCCUGCCAAAAAUUAUAAAUUUGGCUCCUUGUUU
Small nucleolar RNA from Lathyrus oleraceus (garden pea), 106 nucleotides. The record is from RefSeq and is a predicted model, not a curated record. NCBI's taxonomy places the organism in Eukaryota, Viridiplantae, Streptophyta, Magnoliopsida, Fabales, Fabaceae.